Molecule: long non-coding RNA, 324 nt
Filed under: Manihot esculenta (cassava)
Lineage: Eukaryota; Viridiplantae; Streptophyta; Magnoliopsida; Malpighiales; Euphorbiaceae
Description: long non-coding RNA (MESC_LNC004555)
Source: RNAcentral
CUCACUUUCUCUACAUUUAAGGCUGCAUUCACCAGUGCUAAAAAAUCUCUGAUUUGAAGAGCAACUAGAAGCAUCUUGAUCUCAGUGUUUAACCCCUUGCUCAAAUCUUUUACAUUUUGCCUCAUCUGUAGGAAUAAUCUCCCUGGCAUAUCUGCUCAAUCUAAUAAACUCCCUUUCAUAUUCAGCUACUGUCAUACGUCCCUGCCUCAAAUAGAUAAACUCCUUUUUUCUCUCCUCCAUAUAUAUGUCUCCUACAUAUCUCUUUCUAAACUCAUUCAAGAAAAACUCCUAUGUCCUCUGUGUUGGUUGCACUGUCUAUGCCAC